GGACGACGCUGGCGGCGUGCCUAACACAUGCAAGUCGAGCGGAGUUUUUUCGAAUGAGACCUUCGGGUGGAUUUUGAAACGACUUAGCGGCGGACGGGUGAGUAACGCGUGGGCAAUCUGCCUCUUACAGGGGGAUAACACAGGGAAACCUGUGCUAAUACCGCAUAAAACUGCACCGUGGCAUCACGGAGUAGCCAAAGGAGCAAUCCGGUAAGAGAGGAGCCCGCGUCUGAUUAGCUAGUUGGUGAGGUAACGGCUCACCAAGGCGACGAUCAGUAGCCGAACUGAGAGGUUGAUCGGCCACAUUGGGACUGAGACACGGCCCAGACUCCUACGGGAGGCAGCAGUGGGGAAUAUUGCGCAAUGGGGGAAACCCUGACGCAGCAACGCCGCGUGAAGGAUGAAGGCCUUCGGGUUGUAAACUUUUUGAUCGGGGACGAAUAAUGACGGUACCCGAAAAACAAGUCACGGCUAACUACGUG
This 482-nucleotide ribosomal RNA is filed under the name uncultured bacterium. RNAcentral describes it as "bacterial SSU rRNA". It matches the Rfam family "Bacterial small subunit ribosomal RNA", at positions 33 to 507 of the family's 1533-position model. The record is from RNAcentral.